RNAcentral lists this ribosomal RNA (497 nucleotides) under uncultured bacterium. Its description in RNAcentral is "partial 16S ribosomal RNA". It matches the Rfam family "Bacterial small subunit ribosomal RNA", at positions 28 to 523 of the family's 1533-position model. The record is from RNAcentral.
GAUGAACGCUGGCGGCGUGCUUAACACAUGCAAGUCGAACGAAGCAUUUAGAACAGAUUAUUUCGGUAUGAAGUUCUUUAUGACUGAGUGGCGGACGGGUGAGUAACGCGUGGGUAACCUGCCUUGUACGGGGGGAUAGCAGCUGGAAACGGCUGGUAAUCCCGUAUAAGCGCACGAUGUCGCAUGACAUAUGGUGAAAAACUCCGGUGGUAUAAGAUGGACCCGCGUCUGAUUAGCUAGUUGGUGAGAUAACAGCCCACCAAGGCGACGAUCAGUAGCCGACCUGAGAGGGUGGCCGGCCACAUUGGGACUGAGACACGGCCCAGACUCCUACGGGAGGCAGCAGUGGGGAAUAUUGCACAAUGGAGGAAACUCUGAUGCAGCGACGCCGCGUGAGUGAAGAAGUAAUUCGUUAUGUAAAGCUCUAUCAGCAGGGAAGAUAGUGACGGUACCUGACUAAGAAGCUCCGGCUAAAUACGUGCCAGCCGCCGCAGUAA